UCUAACAUAUAACUUUUCACACUGCGUUUUUCUUUAAUUCUAAUAUGUGCGUAUGCUGCUACUAAAAAUCCAAACGCAAGUGUAGACCAUUUUUUACGCAUUUGUCGUCACUCCUCUUUGAUGAUUUCUACUAUAGUUCUACUGUACCAUGCUGAUUCUUAUUACUACCAAUAUUUACUGGGAAAUAAGUUAUGAUGUCUACAUAAUCUUAGCAAUGCUAAUCAUUUGCGAUAUUAAUGCUCAUCGACAUCGUUAUUU
RNAcentral lists this small RNA (258 nucleotides) under Staphylococcus aureus. RNAcentral describes it as "5'UTR". The record is from RNAcentral. Lineage: Bacteria; Bacillati; Bacillota; Bacilli; Caryophanales; Staphylococcaceae.